GAGUUUGAUCGUGGCUCAGAACGAACGCUGGCGGCAUGGAUUAGGCAUGCAAGUCGAACGGACGUAGCAAUACGUUAGUGGCGAAAGGGUGAGGAACGCGUGAGCAACCUGCCCCCAAGUUGGGAAUAACAGCUGGAAACGGCUGCUAAUACCUGAUGUGGUAGUAAAGUGGCAUCACAUUACUACUAAAGAUUUAUCGCUUGGGGAUGGGCUCGCGUCCCAUUAGCUAGUUGGUGAGGUAACGGCUCACCAAGGCAACGAUGGGUAGCUGGUCUGAGAGGAUGGUCAGCCACACUGGGACUGAGAUACUGCCCAGACUCCUACGGGAGGCUGCAGUCGAGAAUCUUCCGCAAUGCGCGAAAGCGUGACGGAGCGAUGCCGCGUGCCGGAUGAAGGUCUUCGGAUCGUAAACGGCUGUCACCCGGGACGAAUAAAUGGACGGUACCGGGGAAGAAGCCACGGGCUAACUACGUGCCAGCCGCCGCCGUAAU
RNAcentral lists this ribosomal RNA (491 nucleotides) under uncultured bacterium. Its description in RNAcentral is "bacterial SSU rRNA". It matches the Rfam family "Bacterial small subunit ribosomal RNA", at positions 9 to 524 of the family's 1533-position model. The record is from RNAcentral.